Molecule: non-coding RNA, 434 nt
Organism: Paramuricea clavata
Lineage: Eukaryota; Metazoa; Cnidaria; Anthozoa; Malacalcyonacea; Plexauridae
Source: the annotation of a GenBank genome assembly
CCAGUAGAUGCCAUUAUGGCUUUGGCAGGUUUGGUCAAUUUUGGACUUGCGUAUGGUAGCUAUUGCCACAGAGCUAUUGCGUCACAUCACGGUCACAUGUAACCUCAAAGUUGCCAAAAAUAACGGAAUAAAAUCUCUAGGUCUAAGCUGCUGAAAAUAUUGACAAUUGUAGAAACAAGGAAACUGUAACAGUCCUAUACCUCUCUUAUUUAUUCUCAACUUAAUAUUAAAAUACCUUUGUAAAUAGACGACUAUACCACAGGAGCAAACAAUUAUACGCCAAUAAAAUCAGCUUUAACUAAGAGUGAGUAUUCGUAUUCAUUCUUCAUCAACGUAUAUUAAAUAGAAAACUUUAAACCACAUCACUAGUUCUGUAUCAACUGUGAUGUGACAGGAGAGAAAAUACUCUCUUCUUUUGAGCUUAUGGCAAAUAC